Bacteroides sp. SM23_62 is the source of this 90-nucleotide non-coding RNA. The record is from Rfam. Lineage: Bacteria; Pseudomonadati; Bacteroidota; Bacteroidia; Bacteroidales; Bacteroidaceae.
GGAGAGGUGGCCGAGCGGUCUAAGGCGCACGCCUGGAAAGCGUGUAUACUACGUGGAGUGGUAUCGAGGGUUCGAAUCCCUCUCUCUCCG